GUGGACUUGUUUCUUCAAGUAUAUGAGAGAGAGGUCCAGUGGUUGGUGAUUUCGUAGCAGAAGCCUAAGGGGUUUGAGACAGAUGUAGGUCUGAGUGAGCGUGGCGAAUAGGCGAAAUAUGAGUUAAUGGGGGGCAUGGACGGGUAAAACGAGUGGCAAAAGGACCGUGAAGGCUGUCUGAGGCCUUACAUGGGAACUGCAGUAAUGUACUGAAGAUUGAAGAAAACUAUACCUGGAUAUAAGGUACAAAAUAGCAAGGUUUUCCUCCGAAUUUAGACGAGGCAAGCUGUUGAUGCUAUCGUAGUAGAACCUAAGGGUUUGAGACAGAUGUAAAUCUGAGUGGGCGUAACGUAUGAGCGCAGAGUUAGUUGACAAAUGUAAAUUGUUGGCUGCCUGAGUUUCCUCAAAC
Pelobates cultripes (western spadefoot toad) is the source of this 409-nucleotide non-coding RNA. The record is from the annotation of a GenBank genome assembly. NCBI's taxonomy places the organism in Eukaryota, Metazoa, Chordata, Amphibia, Anura, Pelobatidae.